This 88-nucleotide non-coding RNA is filed under the name Peptococcaceae bacterium. RNAcentral describes it as "c-di-GMP sequence". It matches the Rfam family "c-di-GMP-I riboswitch aptamer". From Rfam's summary of the family: GEMM was predicted in a large-scale screen for bacterial structured RNA regulatory elements. The record is from RNAcentral. Lineage: Bacteria; Bacillati; Bacillota; Clostridia; Eubacteriales; Peptococcaceae.
ACUUGAUAAAGGCAAAGUCAUCGAAAGGUGGCGGCGCAAAGCUACAGGGGCUAAGGCGGUUCAUCCGCUACGCCAGCCAGUUGCCGGU